GACGAACGCUGGCGGCGUGCUUAACACAUGCAAGUCGAACGAAGAGCGAUGGAAGCUUGCUUCUAUCAAUCUUAGUGGCGAACGGGCGAGUAACGCGUAAUCAACCUGCCCUUCAGAGGGGGACAACAGUUGGAAACGACUGCUAAUACCGCAUACGAUCUAAUCUCGGCAUCGAGGAUGGAUGAAAGGUGGCCUCUACAUGUAAGCUAUCACUGAAGGAGGGGAUUGCGUCUGAUUAGCUAGUUGGAGGGGUAACGGCCCACCAAGGCGAUGAUCAGUAGCCGGUCUGAGAGGAUGAACGGCCACAUUGGGACUGAGACACGGCCCAGACUCCUACGGGAGGCAGCAGUGGGGAAUCUUCCGCAAUGGACGAAAGUCUGACGGAGCAACGCCGCGUGAGUGAUGACGGCCUUCGGGUUGUAAAGCUCUGUUAAUCGGGACGAAAGGCCUUCUUGCGAAUAGUGAGAAGGAUUGACGGUACCGGAAUAGAAAGCCACGGCUAACUACGUG
This 510-nucleotide ribosomal RNA is filed under the name uncultured bacterium. Its description in RNAcentral is "partial 16S ribosomal RNA". It matches the Rfam family "Bacterial small subunit ribosomal RNA", at positions 28 to 507 of the family's 1533-position model. The record is from RNAcentral.